CACCCUAAACUAGGAGAGCAUUGUGUAGCCACUUUUGUUGGCUACGUUAUGUUUGGCCUCUGCUGAUCGAGCUUGUCACCUGAAUUCUACUACCCUUGCUUUUUGCGCACCCAUUGUUUCCUCGGUAGGCUUGCCUGCCAGUAGGACCAUUUAAAACCCUUUGUGAUUGCAAUCAGCGUCAGAAACAACGUAAUUGUUACAACUUUCAACAACGGAUCUCUUGGUUCUGGCAUCGAUGAAGAACGCAGCGAAAUGCGAUAAGUAGUGUGAAUUGCAGAAUUCAGUGAAUCAUCGAAUCUUUGAACGCACAUUGCGCCCCUUGGUAUUCCAUGGGGCAUGCCUGUUCGAGCGUCAUUUGUACCCUCCAGCCCUGCUGGGUGUUGGGCGUUUUGUUCCGCUGCGCGCGUGAACUCGCCUCAAAUGCAUUGGCAGCCCGCCGUCCUGUGUGGGAGCGCAGCACAUUUUGCGCUCUCCACUGCUGACGGUGGCAUCCACAAGUCUACCAUUUUACGCUUGACCUCGGAUCAGGUAGGGAUACCCGCUGAACUUAAGCAUAUCAAUAAGCGGAGGAAAUCUUGGUCAUUUAGAGGAAGUAAGUCACGGGCAUAUCAAUAAGCGGAGGAA
This 624-nucleotide ribosomal RNA is filed under the name uncultured fungus. Its description in RNAcentral is "eukaryotic LSU rRNA". The stretch from base 201 to 354 matches the Rfam family "5.8S ribosomal RNA". Lineage: Eukaryota; Fungi. The record is from RNAcentral.